UUGCUGGGUGAGGGGCUAAUACCGACUCUACAACAUGCACAUGACGAGCUAUUGGCUGCAAACCCACAAACAGUUCCAUACCGAGCAACUACUUAUGGCCAGGGGAGCUUGAUUUUGUUCUUUUAUGUUUGUUCUCAGGGAAGUUCAUAUGGAAGCUUCUUUCCUUUCAAAAGGAAAAUUAGUUUUUGUGUUGGUGUGCGUUGAAGGCUUUUUUUUUUUUGGAACAACUUUUCUUGAAGAAAGAAAAAACGAGGGUAGAUUUUACUUUUUGAUACAAGGAUAAUGGCAACAAAGAGGUAUAACUACUCUUCAAAGGGCAGAGGUUGCCAACAUGUAAGGCACCCCUAGUCACCUUUCUCUAGUAAGGCGACCACCACAUCAUUUGCUCCAUAAUGCCUCAGCAAACCCCAGAUAAAAAGAAUUAAAACAUCUACAAAAUUCAUCAGUAACAUCACUUGUCCCAUGGCCCGGAUUGCUUCUUCAAGUGCAAUAAGUGAUUUGUUUUGUCUUUUGACAUAUUAGAAAUUAAUUUGACUUCUAUCUGAUGUGUUUUCCUUCAAAAAUUGGCUGGAAGCGUUCUGUGCCUAUCUUUGUGUUGUUUUGCUUCCACUUAGAUGUUUAUAGUGAUUGCAAUUUGUAAGGUAUGCAACCGGAUAUGGGAAACUUGGCCCUGAGUUGGAGAGUUUAGUAGUCAAACAAGAGGACUAAGCAAGAGGCUCCUUAUGCAUUACAUGCAUUUGGAUUGCAUGAUGUGAAGAGAAUGUUGUUGAUUUUCAUAAAUGUGGACCUCAAGGUUCUCAUACGUUCUCCACUUCUAUAUGAAGGUCGAUUAGAGCUGGUUGAAAGCACAUUCUUAUGGAAGCUACAUGAUCUACAUGGUAGUGAAGUUCAUGCAUCAGACGGCGUCCAUCUUACUCCCGUAGGAUUGGAGACGGGUAUUUGUGUCAAACCUCAGCAAUAUGCCAUGCAUUGCAACGCAAUGUCAUCAGAGAUAAGAUUCUAUUCUCACAGCUAUCAAAGCCCUUCAAAAUUUUUGAAUUCGACUUUUGGAAACGGCCAGACAGUCAUGGAGAAACUGAGCUAAACAUACAGGCAACUGACGGUGGCACAGUUCAUGCCGUAAUUUCAUGGUGAUGAAUUCAUGCCAUAACUAACGUUAUCUGUAGCAGUUUCUUCAAAAUAGGUCCAUGACUAUCAUGACUUACAUCUGCAGGUGGGUGCUUCAACUUGAUUAUGAGGGGACAAUCUUCUGUUCUACAGCACCACUAUGGAUAAGUUCGCCCUUCAACACUAGGGAAGAAGUAACAUAUGCUCCUGGUGACUUUAUCCAUUUGGUGUGGUUCAAUGACCUAGAAUUGGCAUUUUGUUUUAGAAUGCCUCAGCAAAACUGAGGUGGAAAGAACAACUACAACCCGAAAUCCCAAGAAUUGGCAAUUGAUGCGAGAAGGAACUAUAAAAUACUUGGAAUCUCAUAGAAUUAUUCAUUUUUAUGAAUGAAUUGUUUAUUCAGUUAAUUUGGAAGUAGUCGUAUUUGAUGCAGACAUCAGUAGUGCACCCUUUAGAGUGUAUCAAAGGAGGAGGCGUCGCUGACAGAGUAACAAAGCAAAGGAGUUGAUGUGGAUAGACGUCGGGUCCAUUGGACCCAUUUUUUGACGUGCUACGAGUGUAGGAGUGGCAUGACUGCACACUAACAGCGGGCCCAUGGGGCAAAUUUCACACCUG
Molecule: RNA transcript, 1722 nt
Organism: Magnolia sinica
Lineage: Eukaryota; Viridiplantae; Streptophyta; Magnoliopsida; Magnoliales; Magnoliaceae
Gene name: protein arginine N-methyltransferase 7-like
Exons: 3
Source: RefSeq, a predicted model, not a curated record